UUUAGUACAAUUGCCUUGAGUUGAUAUGGCUCAGGACGAACGCUGGCGGCGUGCUUAACACAUGCAAGUCACGGGGGCUGGGCAACCAGCAACCGGCGAACGGGUGCGUAACACGUGAGCGACCUGCCUCUCCGCGGGGGAUAGCCGGCCCAACGGCCGGGUAAUACCGCAUACGCGGCAGUUGACCCAUGUCGACUGCCGGAAACCUCCGGGGCGGAGAGAGGGGCUCGCGGCCUAUCAGCUCGUUGGCGGGGUAACGGCCCACCAAGGCGACGACGGGUAGCUGGUCUGAGAGGAUGGCCAGCCACAUUGGGACUGAGAGACGGCCCAGACUCCUACGGGAGGCAGCAGUGGGGAAUCUUGCGCAAUGGCCUGACGGCUGACGCAGCGACGCCGCGUGUGGGAGGACGCCCCUCGGGGUGUAAACCACUGUUGCCCGGGACGAACAGCUUGAUUCGUCAAGCCUGACGGUACCGGGUGAGGAAGCACCGGCUAACUCCGUGCCAGCAGCCGCGGUAAUACGGAGGGUGCGAGCGUUGUCCGGAAUCACUGGGCGUAAAGGGCGCGUAGGCGGCGCGGUAAGCGUGCGGUGAAAGCCCGGGGCUCAACCCCGGGUCGGCCGUGCGGACUGCCGGGCUCGAGCACUGUAGAGGCGGGUGGAAUUCCGGGUGUAGCGGUGGAAUGCGUAGAGAUCCGGAAGAACACCGGUGGCGAAGGCNGCCCGCUGGGCAGUGGCUGACGCUGA
This 745-nucleotide ribosomal RNA is filed under the name uncultured bacterium. RNAcentral describes it as "bacterial SSU rRNA". It matches the Rfam family "Bacterial small subunit ribosomal RNA", at positions 1 to 749 of the family's 1533-position model. The record is from RNAcentral.